This is a long non-coding RNA of Bacillus rossius redtenbacheri, 6292 nucleotides long. RefSeq lists it as uncharacterized. The transcript is spliced from 2 exons. NCBI's taxonomy places the organism in Eukaryota, Metazoa, Arthropoda, Insecta, Phasmatodea, Bacillidae. The record is from RefSeq and is a predicted model, not a curated record.
CUGAAAAAUGUUUUACCAUUAGUACAAGACUAAGAGGUUCUGAACCUCAAAUCUUUAGUCCUGACUAUAGAUUUCAUUACAAAAAUUCAUCUAGGACAGACUUUUGGAUCACAAUCGUCAUCUAAGACAAACAUUUGGAUCCACAUUCAGCAAUAAGGAUGCUCAUUGGGGCGCACAUUGGUCAUAUUGUCGCGGGUUGAAAUUUUGCAGGGUUGUUGAAAUCAAAUUUAGGGACUUUACUGACGGGACUCUGGGCUGGCUGCUCUGUUCACUCGUCAGCGCAAGUGGCGUGACCAUGUAAUUGGGGCACGGGGCCGGCGCGGCGCGCUGCGGGCUUGCAGAAUUUUGUUUGUUUGUUUGGCCGCACGCUGGCGCAGCCACGGGCCGCGGUUACUGGGGCGCGCUGUCGUAACAAGCCGCGCGGUGUGGCCUGCACAUUGGGGUAGAGGGGGGGUAGUCUUCCCAGAUGUUCUAGUUAGUUGUUUAGUAAAUUUGACUUCAAUAACGAGCUUUUGUUAUGGUAGGCGCGGCAGGGCGCGCGAAUUUAAGCGCAAGUGAUUGGUGACUCGGGGCUCACUCAGGCGGAGGCUAUGCGUCUCACCUGUGGUCACGAGUUGUUAGUUCGUUCGUGAUGUAGGAAUUCAGGCUCACUCAGGCGGAGGCUAUGCGUCUCACCUGUGGUCACGAGUUGUUAGUUCGUUCGUGAUGUAGGAAUUCAGGCUCACUCAGGCGGAGGCUAUGCGUCUCACCUGUGGUCACGAGUUGUUAGUUCGUUCGUGAUGUAGGAAUUCAAGCUUUCGGGCGGAAGCUAUGGUCGACGCCAGAGGCCACGAGUCGUUUAAUUUAAGUUAGGUCAUAAUGUAGUCGUCAAGCUUUCGGGCGGAGGCUAUGGCCCUCGUCAGGGGUCACGCGUCAUAGUUUUUAAAAUGUAAUGUUCGUUCGGGAUUUCAAGGGCAGGAGAGGCCCCUACGUUAUUUUUUUAAAGUAAUCGAUCAAGAAAGGCUUUUCGGAAAAUGUGAGUAUGGACUUAUCUUUGUUUUAAUUUUAAGUAUUAAUUAUGAUUUGAGGUAUUCGGAAGGACUAGGGAAGUGUUUAGUGAAGUUCUCUCAUUCUCUCUCUUGUAAGGUCGUUCAAUCGUUAAGGAAGUAAAGAGAUUAUUGUUUUAAAUUGUAAUCCCGCUAUUUAAAUGUUCUUUAAAAUGAUGUUGAGUAUUUGACUUUAAGAAUAAAAUAAUUUUAAUUAAGUAUUAUGUUAUUUUGCAAAAUCUCCUUAGUUCAGCUCUCACCAGACAUCCUGUACGGGAUGACGAACCUAUGGUCCUAGGUACAGUAAAGUAUUUUAUGAAGUUAAGACUAGUUGAUGCCAAGCGAGUUGUUUCUAUGUAAAGAGCUACGAUUCUCGCCCCCCCCCUCUGAAGGUGGAUCGUGACAGAAAUGGUGGAGGCGCCGGGUAGGUUCUAUUUCUGGAGAGAGAGAGAGGUAGAUUUUUAUGUUUAUUAUUAAGUUAGUUUCAGCUUCUGAUAGCAGGUUAUUAAGAGUUUACUUGAGGAGAGGAUUACGGAAUUUUAGUCUAUAGUGGAGGAAGUCUUUGAGAUUUUUUUUUUGACGUAACAGAUGUUUAUUUGAGGAUACUUGUAAGGAUAAAGUUUAUAGUGAUAAGUUGUUUUAAGUCGUUGAAUUUAUUGUAGAUUUAUAUCGGGGAUUAUUACGUGAGGAGAAUACGUUAUAAGUUAAAUGCUUAUUAGAGAUAAUGCAAGUGGUUUAAUUUAAUUGAAGUUCAUUUUAAGAUUGUAGGUUAAGAGAGUUAAAAUUUAAAAUAAAGUUUUUUUCGUAAAUAGGAAUUAUUUUCAAGUCAAGUUUGUUUUGCUGUCGUGCGCUUAGGAGACGAGACGUACGAAUUAAAUCAGUCGAGGGAAGGAUAAACGUUAGAAAGGAAUUAAAGAGAAAACGAGAGUUUAUGUAAAAGAGAGUUAUAGAAUUUAUAGUGAUGUUUUGUUUUAAUUAGAAAAAUGUUGAGAGUUGUUUCAGAACGACACGUCAGUGGACGUGGCAGAGUGAACACGUGACGGGGAGGUGCUGAGACCUAGCGGAGAACGGAGGAACCGCAAGCGAGGGUUGGCGCACCUGAUGGAAUUCGGUGACGUCACGGGCUCAUACGGAGACGUGGACAGGCCGUGACCUUGUUUUGAUCAGCUGUACGGUAACUUAGCGAUAAGAAAAUAGACUAUUGGUUAAAUAAAUUUAAAUUUAAGUGUGUUUUAGAAGAAGAGGAACUUUCAGUAUGUAAGUAAUUUAAUUUAAGAAGUGUAUGAUGUAUAGGCUAGAAGUGUUUCGUUGUAAGUUGUUUAUGUUUUUGUUAGUUAAAUUCUACCUCGGUUUUAAAAAUAUUUUUUUGGGAUUUGUAAACAUUAUUAAGGAGGUACACUAUAAAAUCGAUAAGCAUUAAGAAAACUGGGAAGGCUAGAUUUUGUGUGUAGAGGGAAUUUACUCCAAAAGAACAGAGAGACAAAAUUAAUGUUUUCAUUAGGGCGAGGGACCCUAAGGUGAGGCGUUGUGUCCCUGGGAAGAAAGGGAAUUGUAGCGCAGACCAUAGGAGAUGGGCUGACUACGGAAUUAAGGGUCAGGAGAAUCCUGAGAGUUGUGAGUAGUUUGGGGCAGGAGUUCCCCAUGGUAGUACCGAAGUGGCUAUCCUGUAUGGGAUAGGGUACCAUUUCAAUGAAGUUUGUUGGUGGGGUUAGAGCCCCCUGUGUAGUGGGCCUAUAGCAGAUAGGCACUACAGUGAAAUUUUUGGUUAUUUUGUGAGGUAAAUUCCCUGGAGGUUAAGUAAGAUUGGAUUCAGUUAGGAAGGAGGGAAAUGAGAAACAUUGCUGUAGAGAGUUAGUGUACUUGCCUAAUGUGAAAUUGAAUUUUACUAAAUUAAUUUAGGAGAAAGUUUUGUUCGGUAAAUAAAUAAUAAUGGAAGAUAGCUAGAUAAUUAAUUAAUUUUUUUUUGAGUAAGGUGUUUUAAGUAAUGAAAUAAAAUAAGGUGAAGUAAUUUGAAUAAUUGGGGAGGAGUUUCUUUAAGAGUUUAGAUAAUUGUUUUUGAAUUUAUUGAGAUAUUCAGCCAGUGAAGUUUGAGUGUGAGAGAUACAGUGAGAUUUUAAGGAAAUCGGUUGUUUAUUAAUUAGGACAAAUGAGAUUUUAUGAUUAAGAGUCAGUAAGCAUAGUUAAAAUUUACGACAUGAUAUUUGUUGACAGUUUACAGUUAUUAAGGAGAAAACAGAGUAAUCUAUUUAUUUUUAUUUUAAUGGUUUGAAGAUAAGAUUAUGAAUUUUUUUUGGAAGUUUCUUUGGCAUGUUGGAAUAAUUUUUUUUGAUUUUUAGAAUUUACAGAGAAAAUUUAAUUGAUUUACAUUAGUUUGGAAGUAUGGAGGUUUAAUGUUCGAUUAGCCCUAACUUGAUGGUCGGAUCCCAAAAGAAUGCCGUAAAACCGAUAGCCAAUUGAGAGGAAUGCGGUAGGCGCUUGUGUAGAGAGGGGUUGUGGGAAAACUCCUUGGGACUGAUGGCAGAUCAGGGGCCCUAAAUAGUGUGUGAUGCUGUAAAACCAGUGCAGGGAAAGCCUGGUAUGCUUAAAUUUUUGGGCACAGGUUAUGUAAACCUGGGGUUCCAUGGGAUUUAGUCAUGUUAGCUGCUGUGGGACAUUGAGAUUUCCAGGCUCCAUAGUAAAGUCAAUGUAAAUUUUUGUUUUCUUAAAAUAAUAAAUUUGUUUUUAAUUUAUUUGAGAUAUUUGAUUUGGAACAGUGAAUACAGACCCCGAGGAAUAAGAGUCAUGCUGUGAGAGGAGAAGGUGGUAGGCCUAAAAGGGUACAGGCACCACAGAGGUUAUGUGCAUUGCAUAAUUUAAAUAUAAGGAAACUUGAGAAUUUGAAAUUUUGUUGUUGGGUUGUACACCCAUAAGAAGAGUAUAGGCAGAAUUUUUAUUGUUAUGAGAUGUCUAAUUUAAUUGAAAAGAAGAAAGUUUAAAGAUGCAAGGUAACAUUAUUAUUGUAAUAAUUGAAAGAGAUUAAGAGGUAGAGAGAAAUAGGCAGUUUUUGUUUGUAAGUACUAAAGUUUACAUAUAGAAAUUUAGUAACUAAGAAUGAAUAAUAAGUUAAGUCUAGUGUAAAAGUUUUUUUUAAGUUUGUUAAGUUAAGAGUCACAAGUAAAUUUUUUUUUAGAGAGAAUGUCUUUGAUAGGAAGUAUUAGAAACUUAUGGGAAUUUUAGGGUAACAUAAAUAAUGUAGGUAAUGAAUAAUAAAUAGAUGGUAGGUCUUAAGUUAGGAUUAACAUUUGAAGCAGAAUUUAAUUAAGAAGAAGGAAAAUAAAUAGGCCUAAUGAAAAGAACAAAAAAGGAUUUUAUGGUAAAGCAUUUUUUUUAAGUAAUAAACAAUGAAUAAUAAUGUUGUUUCAGGGUAAUGUGUACUAAUAAUACAAUUGUUUUUUUUAGGACCAAAGAACAGGAAUUAUGUAAUUUAAAUUAACAUGUAUUUUUGAAACUGUUACAGAUUCCUUAAGAUGAGCUGAGCAGCAGUCCAGUUUACAAGAUGACAAGAGUUCGAGAGACAAGAUACAAGAUCACUGAAACAAGAGCCAAGACUGAAGAUUCAAGAGAAGAGAAAGCUGGCAGCCAUGGACUUACAAGUGGAGAUUAAUAAGGUCAUGUAAAGUUUUAUUUUUUUUUAUGGAAGACAGUAACUGGAGUUUUUUUUUGUUAUAAACAUUAUUUACAGAACUUUUUAGGUUAUAGUAAUGUAAUGGAACUAGUGAGUUGUGGUAGCUGUCAAAAAGAACUAAUACCUUAAGUUUAAUUUUUAAAGUUAAUUUUCUUAAUUUACAGAGGGAUUAGUAGUUUUUUUUAAACCUUAUUUAGGUUGGAAUUUAAAUACAAUAGCUUAUUAUAAAUGUGUACGAACAGUUCAAGUUCACAGUACUGAUAGGUAGGUCAGAUGAUCUUAUAGAUUUUGAUGAUUUGUUGUUUUGAGUUGAUUUUUAAGUGUUGUGAAUUAGACAAUGAAAUAGUUCUGAAAACUUAAAUUAUUUCAAGCUAAGAAAUAGUAAAGUUAAUUGUAACUCAAAGGACACCAGAAUUUAAUUUUUUUUGAAUUAGUAAUGUUUGAAAAUUUUAUACUUUACCAGAAAGGUUAUAAACAAACAGAUCGGAUGGAACAAGGAUGCAGUAAAUCACAAUUUCAUUUAGAAUUAUUGAUUAGCUUUUGAGGUUAUGAAGUAAAAGUAAUUAUAGUUUAAAAGUUUGAAUAAAAAAAAAUGUUUUUUUUUAUUUGUUUGAAAUAGAAAGUUUAAAAGUUAAUUAGUCAUGAUCUAGGUGGGUGAUGGGGUGGGAAUUGGCCACUCUUUUUCCCUAUAACCUCCCUAACAUGGCCUUCUAUUACAACUAACAGAAAUAAAGAAGAAGAAAAAUGAAGAAUUAUUAGUUAGAAUGUUUUUUUAUGAAGAUACCUGAUGAACUUUUUUUUAUUGUUGGGAAGAAUAGUAGCAAGAUUAAUCAGAUGUUUUACUCAGAAGAAGAAGAAGAUAAUGCAGUUUUAUGACUCGACAAGCCAGAGAUUGGUGUUUCCCCUCUGCGCUUCUAUUGACUACGUUGUUUACUCUCAUGGGAUAGCUGGUUUGGCACCAUGGAGAGAGAUUGGUGGGCAUUGUGGUUGCCCCCAGAAGAAAAGAAGAGUAGAAGAGGUUAUGGGUGGGUCAUGUGAACUGACCUUCAACCCAGUUACUUCGUGGGGACUAUUUGCUGUAUAGAGAAGAUCAAGACUCAAGAGUUAGGGAAAAUCAUUGGAGGUCAUGUUUCCCUUCCUUAAGUUUUUCCUAUCAAAUUAUUUGCCUGAUUAGAUUAUGCUAAGGGUGGGAUACUUUAUGUUAGCAGUUGAAUUAAUUAAUUUUAUUUUUUUGUGUGUUUGCAUCCUUGCCCAUCGAUUGCAGUUUAGUAGUUAGUUUUGUAUUUGUCAGGCGUGAUGGUAAUGCCUGUUGAUGAUGUUUCAGAAUUGUAAUCUGUUCGUGAUGAGGAUGGCACAACUCCGAAGCAGAUGUGGGGAGAAGUUGUGAGCUGCCCUGGAAGCCAGUCCAGUAGCUGUUGGAGUUGAGUGGUGUUUGCUGAUGGCCAGCCCAGGGAGCUACUCUUCUCGACAACACUGACUUCGAGGAGUUGCACCAACCUUCACGAGAUAAGAGUUUAAUUAAUUGAAACACUGUAAGGACACUUAAUUUUUUUUGAAGAACGAAAGAAGUAUGGUAAUAAACGGAAACCGAAAAAAAAAAAAA